Molecule: transfer RNA, 73 nt
Filed under: Camelus bactrianus (Bactrian camel)
Lineage: Eukaryota; Metazoa; Chordata; Mammalia; Artiodactyla; Camelidae
Also listed under: 2 other names
Rfam family: tRNA
About the family: Transfer RNA (tRNA) molecules are approximately 80 nucleotides in length. Their secondary structure includes four short double-helical elements and three loops (D, anti-codon, and T loops).
Source: Rfam by way of RNAcentral
GAGGGUGUAGCUCAGUGGUAGAGCACCCUGCCUAGCAGGUGCAAGGUCCUGGGUUCAAUCCCCAGUACUUCCA